Molecule: non-coding RNA, 423 nt
Organism: Phodopus roborovskii (desert hamster)
Lineage: Eukaryota; Metazoa; Chordata; Mammalia; Rodentia; Cricetidae
Source: the annotation of a RefSeq genome assembly
AUGAAGAUGCCCGUUAGACUGUUGGUGCUGCUGUUGUUCAGGAUUUCUGCUUCCAGGGGGGAUGUUGUGAUGACUCAAACUCCACCCUCAUUGCCUGUCAACCUUGGAGAUCAAGCCUCUAUCUCUUGCAAGUCUAGUCAGAGUAUUGUACAUAGUGAUGGAUACACCUAUUUGGAAUGGUACCUGCAGAAGCCAGGCCAGUCUCCGCAGCUCCUCAUCUAUGGGGUUUCCAACCGAUAUUCUGGGGUGCCAGACAGGUUCAGUGGCAGUGGGUCAAGCACAGACUUCACGCUCAAGAUCAGCAGAGUGGAGCCUGAGGAUUUGGGAAUAUAUUACUGCUUCCAAGGUACACAUGUUCCUCACACAGUGAUGUAUACCUUAUCAAAAACAUCCUUGCUGGGAUGGCCCAGCAGCCAAACAUGA